CAGUAUUAUAUGCUGAUGUUAAAGAUUAAGCCAUGCAUGUGUAAGUUUAAAGACCAAGUAGGAUGAAACUGCGGACGGCUCAUUAUAACAGUAAUAGUUUCUUUGGUUAGUAGGUACAAGGAUAACUUUGUGAAUGAUAAAGCUAAUACUUGAGACGAUCCGGGGAGUAUUUAUACUUUUCGGCCGAUGGCCGCAAGGUUGGCGAGAAAUGACAUUUUUUUGUGAAAAAGGAUGCCACGACAAUUGAGGAAAGCGACGCUUUUUACAAGUAACCAAUGGGAAUUUCUGAUCUAUCAAUUAGUUGGUAGUAUCGAGGACUACCAAGAUUAUAACGGAUAACGAGGAAUUGGGGUUCGACAUCGGAGAGGGAGCUUUACAGAUGGCUACCACUUCUAAGGAAGGCAGCAGGCGCGUAAAUUACCCACUUUCGACAUGAAGAGGUAGUGACGACAAAUAACUC
RNAcentral lists this ribosomal RNA (460 nucleotides) under Entamoeba bovis. Its description in RNAcentral is "SSU rRNA". It matches the Rfam family "Eukaryotic small subunit ribosomal RNA", at positions 18 to 483 of the family's 1831-position model. The record is from RNAcentral. Lineage: Eukaryota; Evosea; Mastigamoebida; Endamoebidae.